UAGUCUUGAUGGUGAGAGAAUUUUU
Molecule: non-coding RNA, 25 nt
Filed under: Rattus norvegicus (Norway rat)
Lineage: Eukaryota; Metazoa; Chordata; Mammalia; Rodentia; Muridae
Source: RNAcentral